GAUGAACGCUGGCGGCGUGCCUAAUACAUGCCAGUCGAGCGAACAGAUGAGGAGCUUGCUCCUCUGACGUUAGCGGCGGACGGGUGAGUAACACGUGGAUAACCUACCUAUAAGACUGGGAUAACUUCGGGAAACCGGAGCUAAUACCGGAUAAUAUAUUGAACCGCAUGGUUCAAUAGUGAAAGACGGUUUUGCUGUCACUUAUAGAUGGAUCCGCGCCGCAUUAGCUAGUUGGUAAGGUAACGGCUUACCAAGGCAACGAUGCGUAGCCGACCUGAGAGGGUGAUCGGCCACACUGGAACUGAGACACGGUCCAGACUCCUACGGGAGGCAGCAGUAGGGAAUCUUCCGCAAUGGGCGAUAGCCUGACGGAGCAACGCCGCGUGAGUGAUGAAGGUCUUCGGAUCGUAAAACUCUGUUAUUAGGGAAGAACAAAUGUGUAAGUAACUAUGCACGUCUUGACGGUACCUAAUCAGAAAGCCACGGCUAACUACGUG
This 497-nucleotide ribosomal RNA is filed under the name uncultured bacterium. RNAcentral's name for it is "partial 16S ribosomal RNA". It matches the Rfam family "Bacterial small subunit ribosomal RNA", at positions 28 to 507 of the family's 1533-position model. The record is from RNAcentral.